UUUAAAUUUAGAGUUUGAUCCUGGCUCAGGACGAACGCUGGCGGCGUGCUUAACACAUGCAAGUCGAGCGAUGAAGCUUCCUUCGGGAAGUGGAUUAGCGGCGGACGGGUGAGUAACACGUGGGUAACCUGCCUCAAAGUGGGGGAUAGCCUUCCGAAAGGAAGAUUAAUACCGCAUAAUAUAAGAGAAUCGCAUGAUUUUCUUAUCAAAGAUUUAUUGCUUUGAGAUGGACCCGCGGCGCAUUAGCUAGUUGGUAAGGUAACGGCUUACCAAGGCAACGAUGCGUAGCCGACCUGAGAGGGUGAUCGGCCACAUUGGAACUGAGACACGGUCCAGACUCCUACGGGAGGCAGCAGUGGGGAAUAUUGCGCAAUGGGGGAAACCCUGACGCAGCAACGCCGCGUGGGUGAUGAAGGUCUUCGGAUUGUAAAGCCCUGUUUUCUAGGACGAUAAUGACGGUACUAGAGGAGGAAGCCACGGCUAACUACGUGCCAGCAGCCGCGGUAAUACGUAGGUGGCGAGCGUUGUCCGGAUUUACUGGGCGUAAAGGGUGCGUAGGCGGAUGUUUAAGUGGGAUGUGAAAUCCCCGGGCUUAACCUGGGGGCUGCAUUCCAAACUGGAUAUCUAGAGUGCAGGAGAGGAAAGCGGAAUUCCUAGUGUAGCGGUGAAAUGCGUAGAGAUUAGGAAGAACACCAGUGGCGAAGGCGGCUUUCUGGACUGUAACUGACGCUGAGGCACGAAAGCGUGGGUAGCAAACAGGAUUAGAUACCCUGGUAGUCCACGCCGUAAACGAUGGAUACUAGGUGUAGGGGGUAUCAACUCCCCCUGUGCCGCAGUUAACACAAUAAGUAUCCCGCCUGGGGAGUACGGUCGCAAGAUUAAAACUCAAAGGAAUUGACGGGGGCCCGCACAAGCAGCGGAGCAUGUGGUUUAAUUCGAAGCAACGCGAAGAACCUUACCUGGACUUGACAUCCCUUGCAUAGCCUAGAGAUAGGUGAAGCCCUUCGGGGCAAGGAGACAGGUGGUGCAUGGUUGUCGUCAGCUCGUGUCGUGAGAUGUUAGGUUAAGUCCUGCAACGAGCGCAACCCUUGUUAUUAGUUGCUACCAUUAAGUUGAGCACUCUAAUGAGACUGCCUGGGUAACCAGGAGGAAGGUGGGGAUGACGUCAAAUCAUCAUGCCCCUUAUGUCCAGGGCUACACACGUGCUACAAUGGUAGGUACAAUAAGACGCAAGACCGUGAGGUGGAGCAAAACUUAUAAAACCUAUCUCAGUUCGGAUUGUAGGCUGCAACUCGCCUACAUGAAGCUGGAGUUGCUAGUAAUCGCGAAUCAGAAUGUCGCGGUGAAUACGUUCCCGGGCCUUGUACACACCGCCCGUCACACCAUGAGAGCUGGUAACACCCGAAGUCCGUGAGGUAACCGUAAGGA
This 1428-nucleotide ribosomal RNA is filed under the name Clostridium botulinum. Its description in RNAcentral is "bacterial SSU rRNA". It matches the Rfam family "Bacterial small subunit ribosomal RNA". Lineage: Bacteria; Bacillati; Bacillota; Clostridia; Eubacteriales; Clostridiaceae. The record is from RNAcentral.